UUGGCUAUGCAGAUCUUGCUGGAGACUGUGCCUAGUCAAGCCUAUCUGAUCAUAGAAGCUAAGCAGACUUGAGCUGGGAUAGUACUUGGAUGGAAGACCACCAGGAAAUCACGGGAUUAUGCCCUCG
Molecule: ribosomal RNA, 127 nt
Filed under: Salvator merianae (Argentine black and white tegu)
Lineage: Eukaryota; Metazoa; Chordata; Lepidosauria; Squamata; Teiidae
Source: RNAcentral